ACGAUUAUUAAACAAGUUUAAUAAUUUAUAUCCAUGUGGUAUAUCCGUGAAUUCAGCGAGACCCUAGCAGGAUUCACAGAACCUCUUCUACACGUCGACAAGAUUCAUUUCUUGUUUUUAUGCCAGCCCCUCUUCAGGCUGGCUUUUUUUAUU
RNAcentral lists this non-coding RNA (153 nucleotides) under Vibrio aestuarianus. RNAcentral describes it as "VqmR". It matches the Rfam family "Vibrio RNA VqmR". From Rfam's summary of the family: In fact, VqmR which is highly conserved in vibrionaceae, was shown to strongly inhibit biofilm formation through the repression of vpsT gene and could be the link between biofilm formation and quorum sensing. Lineage: Bacteria; Pseudomonadati; Pseudomonadota; Gammaproteobacteria; Vibrionales; Vibrionaceae. The record is from RNAcentral.